UGACUAACAUAUCUGUGUGGAGAAUCUAC
RNAcentral lists this small RNA (29 nucleotides) under Bombyx mori (domestic silkworm). RNAcentral describes it as "ovarian small RNA-31843". The record is from RNAcentral. Lineage: Eukaryota; Metazoa; Arthropoda; Insecta; Lepidoptera; Bombycidae.